UACAGAGGUCCCGAGCGUUGUUCGGAUUCACUGGGCGUAAAGGGUGCGUAGGUGGUGGGGCAAGUCUGAUGUGAAAUCUCCAAGCUCAACUUGGAAAAGGCAUUGGAAACUGCCCCGCUUGAGGAGUGGAGGGGGGACUGGAAUUCUCGGUGUAGCAGUGAAAUGCGUAGAGAUCGAGAGGAACACCAGUGGCGAAGGCGAGUCCCUGGACACUUCCUGACACUGAGGCACGAAAGCUAGGGGAGCAAACAGG
This 253-nucleotide ribosomal RNA is filed under the name uncultured bacterium. RNAcentral's name for it is "partial 16S ribosomal RNA". It matches the Rfam family "Bacterial small subunit ribosomal RNA", at positions 524 to 776 of the family's 1533-position model. The record is from RNAcentral.